AUGCAAAGAACUUUGAAAAGAGAGUUAAAGAGUACCUGAAAUUGCUGAAACGGAAGCGAAGGAAACCAGUGUUUGUUGGUUCAUAUUUCCCUGGCCACUUGUGGUUUGGGCGCUGUGAGCCUGCGUGGGUUUGUUUUGAUUGAUCCCUUUGGAAGAGCGCAGACAGAGUUGAUGUCUGUUGCUAGCACUGGGUUUGAUUGAUGCAGACGAAAUGGUUUUCUUUACCCCGUCUUGAAACACGGACCAAGGAGUCUAACAUAUGUGCGAGUACAGGGGUGUCAAACCCCGGUGCGUAAUGAAAGUGACAGUGGUUGGAUAUUUUGCACAAUCCGCCGGCCUCAAUCCUUCGGGAGAACGGUCUGAGUGUGAGCAUACAUGUUGGGACCCGAAAGAUGGUGAACUAUGCCUGAAUAGGGUGAAGCCAGGGGAAACUCUGGUGGAGGCUCGUAGCGAUUCUGACGUGCAAAUCGAUCGUCAAAUUUGGGUAUAGGGGCGAAAGACUAAUCGAACCAUCUAGUAGCUGGUUCCCUCCGAAAUUUCCCUCAGGAUAGCUGCAAUCGAUUUCAAUUUUAUCA
RNAcentral lists this ribosomal RNA (575 nucleotides) under Pseudo-nitzschia subcurvata. Its description in RNAcentral is "eukaryotic LSU rRNA". It matches the Rfam family "Eukaryotic large subunit ribosomal RNA", at positions 364 to 1006 of the family's 3401-position model. The record is from RNAcentral. Lineage: Eukaryota; Bacillariophyta; Bacillariophyceae; Bacillariales; Bacillariaceae. RNAcentral also lists the same sequence under 1 other name.